AGUGAACGCUGGCGGUAGGCCUAACACAUGCAAGUCGAACGGCAGCACACUAAGAGCUUGCUCUUAUGGGUGGCGAGUCGCGGACGGGUGAGGAAUGUAUCGGACUCUACUCUUUCGUGGGGGAUAACGUAGGGAAACUUACGCUCAUACCGCAUCCGCCCUACGGGUGAAAGCAGGGGAUCUUCUGACCUUGCGCGAUUGAAUGCGCCGAUGUCGGGUUAGCUAGUUGGCGGGUUAAAGGCCCACCAAGUCGACGAUCCGUAGCUGGUCAGAGUGGAUGGUCAGCCACACUGGAACUGAGACGCGGUCCAGACUCCUACGGGAGGCAGCAGUGGGGAAUAGUGGACAAUGGGGGCAAGCCUGAUCCAGCCAUAGCGCGUGGGUGAAGAAGGCCUUCGGGUUGUAAAGCCCUUUUGUUGGGAAAGAAAAGCAGCAGGUUAAUACCCCGCUGUUCUGACGGUACCCAAAGAAUAAGCACCGGCUAACUUCGUG
This 492-nucleotide ribosomal RNA is filed under the name uncultured bacterium. RNAcentral's name for it is "partial 16S ribosomal RNA". It matches the Rfam family "Bacterial small subunit ribosomal RNA", at positions 29 to 507 of the family's 1533-position model. The record is from RNAcentral.